UUUCUGGUAACACUGAGGGUAUAAAUUGUGGCUGGGCUCUGUGUGUGCAUUCACAUCAAAAGCCAAAAUGAAGACAUGCACACUCUUUGCUCUAGUGGCUUUCAUCACCGUGGGGAUGGAGAUGGCCUGUGGUGACCCUCUGACACCUCGUGUCCAAGAGCAACAAAGACCUGGAGUCUGCCCGAAGGUGUCUUCAGACGUCAUUGGGCCUUGUUAUGUUGGAUGCAUAGGAGAUGCAUCAUGUCCCAAGGGAAUGAAAUGCUGCGUCCAUGGAUGUGGUCGUGUCUGCAAAACUGCUCUCCCUGCAAAGGGUGGCUUGGGUGGCCAAGUGAAAGAUGGACAAGGUGUUUAUUAAGCGUGCCUGGAGACGAUCCUCAGAAGAUUUCUCAUGAAUCUGAUGCUUGGCUAACAAGACUCUUCUACAAACCAUUCCUGGCUAUUCUCUAUCCCUGGACUUGCAGCUCUAGAAGAUGAAGAUCUAAAGUGGUGGAGUGACCACUUCUAAAGAUCUUUUGUCCAAAAUAAACCUUAUCUGUGGCAUGAUUCAGGCUCUGUCAUUCUUCCCAUUUACGCAUUCUAGUGGACCCUCUGUGGAUGGGCAGGACCAUAUGUGUGUCCUGCACUGAGCCCAUGAAUGCAAGGUACUCAUGAAAGAUCAGAGGCAAGAUCCUUCCAGCUAGUUCCCUUCCUCCUUCCAUGUCCAUGUCUCUAGACAGGGCAAAGGGCAUAAUAAUAUUUUCUCAAUUAUUCUGUGAAUAAAAAUGACCUUCUAGCACUUAGAAAGCCUAUUGGAGCAGGACUGGAUGCCUAACUCCAGGAGAGCAACCCCAGCCCUUGGGAUGUGGGACUUUGAGUGGCAAAGACUGGGAAGUGCCAGCUCCUGCCCUGGAGUGACUAGGAGUUAGGGUACAGUUAGGACAGAGGCUCUGUGGGUGGAGUCUUUGAUUCAGAGUUUUCCUGAGGCAGAGGAUAAACCUAGGUCUCCCAAAGAAGCCUUGACAAAAACUAUGGUCUGAGCUGACCGCUACAAGCUCCAUCUCCCAGCGCUCUCUGUUCACUUUCCCACCUUGAUUCCCCCCACUUAGCCUGCCGAGUUUGGCAGGCUCCCAUCAACUUGUCCCUGUCCAUCACGCUGCUGUUGCUUCUCCAUAGCACAUCUUAUAACCCCAGUGGCCCAGGGCCUCACCAGUCUGUACAUUGGAAGGAGCAUAUUAGCAUCAAUAUCUUCUUUUACUGGUUGGUCAUCUAGGUCCCAAACCCCAGCAUGCUUUAGUCACUCUUGGUCAUUUAUGGGGGUUCAUAGACACCUCUAACAUGGUCUCAAACAAUUUCACCUAUUGUCUGCCAUUCUGAAUGCCAAAGAUACUUGAGGAUGGCAUCCUACAACUUCCACUUACCUUUCUGCCCUUUAGAUAGUCCUGAAAUCCCUAGAAAGUUGUUUGUGCUCUUUUGUGAGCUUCUCAUUUUUUUUCUCGCCUGCAUUCCAACCCCCUUUAUAUUUUGGAGAAAACUCUUCUUUCUCCUCUUGGAAAUUGACAAGGGCCAGACAGUCUCACCCUGCUUCCUAGCAGGUAGGGUUUGGAAUUAGGAUGCUAUUUUCUGAUGAUGUGGAUUGAUAGGGAGUGACACUUAAGACUUAUGAAUUGUCAAAACCAAUUCACAACAGCAGAGGUGCCAGUGACAGCAUCCUAACCAGAUUUGCCACGGGCUGGACUUGGCUAUGUCCUCUUCUACCUGCUGUAUUUAGGUCCUUGAUAUUUUCCCCAAGCCUGGUUCACCAGCCUUUCCUACUGUUUCUGUGAGCUGUAUAAUAAUGUCUUUCCAGAACUCCUGCUCUCUCAAGUUGGACAGAAUUGGCUUUUUUGUUUGCAUCCAAGAACAUUCACUUGUACAGAAAUUGGUGUCAGGAGUGGACACAGGCCAAAAAUACUCAGGGAGAUGGCAGGAGUCUGGGUUUUAUGAACUGGUCUAGUUAGAAGCCCCCUUAUUCACAUACCUAUGCUCUCCUGUUCACGAGGCCCACCCCCUUGAGAACUUGGGUGGUCUCUGUUUUGGGGAGCCACUUCCAUGAUGGGCAGAGCUACAAAUGGAACCCUGGGUUGCUCACAGCCUGUGUUUCUUUACCUGUGACCUCUGGCUAAGCACCCCUCACCCCGUGGCCAUUUGCUCUAAUGGGCUUCUCCCUUCCCCCGACCCCCCUCUCCCACCCUCAGUGGACAGGGGUGCUGUCAUUGCACCUGUGCCUUUGGCAGCUGCUGGGUGCCUCCUGGUACAAGACCCUGAUGCCACCCCACCUCUGUGGCAGCAUCUCUCAUCCCCUGGAGACCCCAUUCAGUGCUCCCCUGCAGCUCCAAGGACCUGCUGAGCCCAGGUCCCAGCCUGUCACUAGUUCCCCAAGUCCUGCCUGCAGCCCCAGGAUCCUCAAGGCAGUCUGAGAGGAGGAUUGACCCCUUAGACAGAGUGGUGCAGACACCAGGUGGGUACUCUGCCCCACUCUCAUGUGAUCCUGUAGCCCCGCGCCCCGAGUUCACAUGCCCGGUUCUGCUUGAUCACGUGGCCCCGCCCCCUUGUUCAUGUGCCCACUUCCCGCUUGAUCAAACCAGUCUGGGAGGGGCUGGUGGGUUGACCCCUUAUACAGAGGGGUGCAGACACCAGGUGGGCACUCCGCCCUGCUCCCCUCUCCAGACCCUCAGAAAUGCCUUGAGCACCAAGUCUGUGCUGACGUCCAGCUCCUGGAGGGCUCGGCCUACGCACUGCAGCCACCAGAGGGGACCCAUCUGCAGAGUGGCCUGGCCCCAAAGCCAUUCUUCAGCCUCACACUUACCUCUUCUGAAGGGUAACCAGGUGUGGUUUCCACCCAGCCCAGCUGCCUGCCUUGGGAGGCAGCAGAGACUGUCACCCUCUGCUGGCCCAUUCCUGUUACUGCAGAAGGAGGUAAAGUGGCCUCAGCGUGGGCAGAGCAGCAGAGAGGAGCCAGUUACUCAGAGGGCAGAUGCUCCAUGGAAGCCUCCAGCACAAGCAGUCAACCCCUAAAGCCUCCAACAGUCCAGCUUAUUAUAGCCCUCUCUCUAGGAACCUCUCAGUGUGGAGCAGUGUAGGCUCAGAGACCACCAACCAUCAAGAAUGGGCUCUGUCUCUCAACUCCCAAGGGCCUUGCCAGCUUGUGAUCUUUGAACAUCCAUCUCCUUGGAUGAGUUACAUAAGUGAUAGGUGGGUAAUGUCACCUACUUAGGGGUCUCAGCCCUGGGAUGGCUCCAAAACACCACAUAUUCACCAUCUCUCCCAGGAGGACAUUGAAUCCUCCUGGAACUGGAUCUCCAGGAGACACCAGAUGGGACAACACUUAGCUUCAUAGUUAAGCUCUUACUCUGAAAUUCAACAUUACACAGAGAAAAUUCUUUUCUUUGGCCAUUGUUCCUAAAGACACCAGGAAAACCAGUGCUGAACUGUGAUGUAGCAAUGAACAAAGGGCUAGAAGGUGUUCCUGAACUUUCCUCUUUGUGAUUUGCAUAUCCGAGAAAACAUACCCUAAUUAGAGAGAAACCAGUUAUUAACUAGAACAGAGGAACUAGAUCAUGUCAUCCUCUUCCUGCUCUACUGCCCCGCCCCACACUCCUUUCUGGUAACACUGAGGGUAUAAAUUGUGGCUGGGCUCUGUGUGUGCAUUCACAUCAAAAGCCAAAAUGAAGACAUGCACACUCUUUGCUCUAGUGGCUUUCAUCACCGUGGGGAUGGAGAUGGCCUGUGGUGACCCUCUGACACCUCCUGUCCAAGAGCAACAAAGACCUGGAGUCUGCCCCAAGGUGCCCAAAGGAACCUUUGGGAUUUGUCUUGAUAGAUGCACAGGAGAUGCAUCUUGUCCCAAGGGAAUGAAAUGCUGCGUCCAUGGAUGUGGUCGUGUCUGCAAAACUGCUGUCCCUGCAAAGGGUGGCUUGGGUGGCCCAGUGAAAGAUGGACAAGGUGUUUAUUAAGCGUGCCUGGAGACCAGCCCCAGAAGAUUUCUCAUGAAUCUGAUGCUUGGCUAACAAGACUCUUCUACAAACCAUUCCUGGCUAUUCUCUAUCCCUGGACUUGCAGCUCUAGAAGAUGAAGAUCUAAAGUGGUGGAGUGACCACUUCUAAAGAGCUUAUGUCCAAAAUAAACCUUAUCUGUGGCAUGAUUCAGGCUCUGUCAUUCUUCCCAUUUAGGCAUUCUAGUGGACCUCUGUGGAUGGGCAGGACCAUAUGUGUGUCCUGCACUGAGCCCAUGAAUGCAAGGUACUCAUGAAAGAUCAGAGGCAACAUCCUUCCAGCUAGUUCCUUUCCUCCUUCCAUGUCCAUGUCUCUAGACAGGGCAAAGGGCAUAAUAAUAUUUUCUCAAUCAUUCUGUGAAUAAAAAUGACCUUCUAGCACUUAGCAAGCCUAUUGGAGCAGGACUGGAUGCCUAACUCCAGGAGAGCAACCCCAGCCCUUGGGAUGUGGGACUUUGAGUGGCAAAGACUGGGAAGUGCCAGCUCCGGCCCUGGAGUGACUAGGAGUUAGGGUACAGUCAGGACAUAGGCUCUGUGGGUGGAGUCUUUGAUUCAGAGUUUUCCUGAGGCAGAGGAUAAACCUAGGUCUCCCAAAGAAGCCUUGACAAAAACUAUGGUCUGAGCUGACCGCUACAAGCUCCAUCUCCCAGCGCUCUCUGUUCACUUUCCCACCUUGAUCCCCCCACUUAGCCUGCCGAGUUUGGCAGGCUCCCAUCAACUUGUCCCUGUCCAUCAUGCUGCUGUUGCUUCUCCAUAGCACAUCUUAUAACCCCAGUGGCCCAUGGCCUCACCAGUCUGUACAUUGGAAUGAGCAUAUUAGCAUCAAUAUCUUCUUUUACUGGUUGGUCAUCUACAUCCCAAACCCCAGCAUGCUUUAGUCACUCUUGGUCAUUUUUGGAGGUUCAUAGACACCUCUAACAUGGUCUCAAACAAUUUCACCUAUUGUCUGCCAUUCUGAAUGCCAAAGAUACUUGAGGAUGGCAUCCUACAACUUCCACUUACCUUUCUGCCCUUUAGAUAGUCCUGAAAUCCCUAGAAAGUUGUUUGUGCUCUUUUGUCAGCUUCUCAUUUUUUUUCUCGCCUGCAUUCCAACCCCCUUUAUAUUUUGGAGAAAACUCUUCUUUCUCCUUAUGGAAAUUGACAAGGGCCAGACAGUCUCACCCUGCUUCCUAGCAGGUAGGGUUUGGAAUUAGGAUGCUAUUUUCUGAUGAUGUGGAUUGAUAGGGAGUGACACUUAAGACUUAUGAAUUGUCAAAACCAAUUCACAACAGCAGAGGUGCCAGUGACAGCAUCCUAACCAGAUUUGCCACGGGCUGAACUUGGCUAUGUCCUCUUCUACCUGCUGUAUUUAGGUCCUUGAUAUUUUUCCCAAGCCUGGUUCACCAGCCUUUCCUACUGUUUCUGUGAGCUGUAUACUAAUGUCUUUCCAGAAUUCCUGUUCUCUCAAGUUGGACAGAAUUGGCUUUUUUGUUUGCAUCCAAGAACAUUAACUUGUACAGAAAUUGGUGUCAGGAGUGGACACAGGCCAAAAAUACUCGGGGAGAUGGCAGGAGUCUGGGUUUUAUGAACUGGUCUAGUUAGAAGCCCCCUUGUUCACAUGCCUAUGCUCUCCUGUUCACGUGGCCUACCCCCUUGAGACCUUGGAUGGUCUCUGUUUUGGGGAGCCACCUCCAUGGUGGGCAGAGCUACAAAUGGAACCCUGGGUUGCUCACAGCUUGUGUUUCUUUACCUGUGACCUCUGGCUGAGCGCCCCUCACCCUGUGGCCAUUUGCUCUACUGGGCUUCUCCCUUCCCCUGACCCCCCUCUCCCACCCUCAGUGGACAGGGGUCCUGUCAUUGCACCUGUGCCUCUGGGCGGCUGCUGGGUGCCUCCUGGUACAAGACCCUGAUGCCACCCCACCUCUGUGGCAGCAUCUCUCAUCCCCUGGAGACCCCAUUCAGUGCUCCCCUGCAGCUCCAAGGACCUGCUGAGCCCAGGUCCCAGCCUGUCACUAGUUCCCCAAGUCCUGCCUGCAGCCCAGGAUCCUCAAGGCAGUCUGAGAGGAGGAUAGACCCCUUAGACAGAGUGGUGCAGACACCAGAAAUGCCUUGAGCACCAAGUCUGUGCUGACGUCCAGCUCCUGGAGGGCUCGGCCUACGCACUGCAGCCACCAGAGGGGACCCAUCUGCAGAGUGGCCUGGCCCCAAAGCCAUUCUUCAGCCUCCCACUUACCUCUUCUGAAGGGUAACCAGGUGUGGUUUCCACCCAGCCCAGCUGCCUGCCUUGGGAGGCAGCAGAGACUGUCACCCUCUGCUGGCCCAUUCCUGUUACUGCAGAAGGUCAGAACCAGGCUG
This is a long non-coding RNA of Myotis lucifugus (little brown bat), 6343 nucleotides long. RefSeq lists it as uncharacterized. The record is from RefSeq and is a predicted model, not a curated record. The transcript is spliced from 9 exons. Lineage: Eukaryota; Metazoa; Chordata; Mammalia; Chiroptera; Vespertilionidae.